This 403-nucleotide ribosomal RNA is filed under the name Verrucomicrobiota bacterium. RNAcentral describes it as "Verrucomicrobia bacterium partial 16S ribosomal RNA". It matches the Rfam family "Bacterial small subunit ribosomal RNA", at positions 355 to 776 of the family's 1533-position model. Lineage: Bacteria; Pseudomonadati; Verrucomicrobiota. The record is from RNAcentral.
UGGGGAAUAUUGCGCAAUGGGGGAAACCCUGACGCAGCAACGCCGCGUGCGGGAUGAAGGCCUUCGGGUUGUAAACCGCUUUCAGCAGGGAAGACAUCGACGGUACCUGCAGAAGAAGCUCCGGCUAACUACGUGCCAGCAGCCGCGGUAAUACGUACGGGGCGAGCGUUAUCCGGAUUCAUUGGGCGUAAAGCGCGCGCAGGCGGUUGCUCAAGCGGAACCUCUAAUCUCGGGGGUUAACCUCGGGCCGGGUUCCGAACUGGACGACUCGAGUGCGGUAGAGGCAGAUGGAAUUCCCGGUGUAGCGAUGGAAUGCGCAGAUAUCGGGAAGAACACCAGCGGCGAAGGCAGUCUGCUGGGCCGUAACUGACGCUGAGGCGCGAAAGCUGGGGGAGCGAACAGG